This 164-nucleotide ribosomal RNA is filed under the name Phanera kockiana. RNAcentral describes it as "5.8S ribosomal RNA". It matches the Rfam family "5.8S ribosomal RNA". Rfam says of the family: 5.8S ribosomal RNA (5.8S rRNA) is a component of the large subunit of the eukaryotic ribosome. It is transcribed by RNA polymerase I as part of the 45S precursor that also contains 18S and 28S rRNA. Lineage: Eukaryota; Viridiplantae; Streptophyta; Magnoliopsida; Fabales; Fabaceae. The record is from RNAcentral.
UAAAAUGACUCUCGGCAACGGAUAUCUCGGCUCUCGCAUCGAUGAAGAACGUAGCGAAAUGCGAUACUUGGUGUGAAUUGCAGAAUCCCGUGAACCAUCNAGUCUUUGAACGCAAGUUGCGCCCAAAGCCCAUNAGGUUGANGGGCACGUCUGCCUGGGUGUCA